UUUAAUUCGAAGCAACGCGAAGAACCUUACCUAAGCUUGACAUCCCAAUGACAUCUCCUUAAUCGGAGAGUUCCCUUCGGGGACAUUGGUGACAGGUGGUGCAUGGUUGUCGUCAGCUCGUGUCGUGCGAUGUUGGGUUAAGUCCCGCAACGAGCGCAACCCUUGUCUUUAGUUGCCAUCAUUAAGUUGGGCACUCUAGAGAGACUGCCAGGGAUAACCUGGAGGAAGGUGGGGAUGACGUCAAAUCAUCAUGCC
RNAcentral lists this ribosomal RNA (255 nucleotides) under Clostridioides difficile. RNAcentral describes it as "partial 16S ribosomal RNA". It matches the Rfam family "Bacterial small subunit ribosomal RNA", at positions 945 to 1199 of the family's 1533-position model. Lineage: Bacteria; Bacillati; Bacillota; Clostridia; Peptostreptococcales; Peptostreptococcaceae. The record is from RNAcentral.